This 173-nucleotide ribosomal RNA is filed under the name Ruellia prostrata. Its description in RNAcentral is "5.8S ribosomal RNA". The stretch from base 43 to 173 matches the Rfam family "5.8S ribosomal RNA", at positions 1 to 131 of the family's 154-position model. From Rfam's summary of the family: 5.8S ribosomal RNA (5.8S rRNA) is a component of the large subunit of the eukaryotic ribosome. It is transcribed by RNA polymerase I as part of the 45S precursor that also contains 18S and 28S rRNA. The record is from RNAcentral. Lineage: Eukaryota; Viridiplantae; Streptophyta; Magnoliopsida; Lamiales; Acanthaceae.
GUGCANGAUGAGGGGUACUGUGCGUAUCUUGUAUGUCAAAACAACUCUCGGCAACGGAUAUCUCGGCUCUCGCAUCGAUGAAGAACGUAUCGAAAUGCGAUACUUGGUGUGAAUUGCAGAAUCCCGUGAACCAUCGAGUCUUUGAACGCAAGUUGCGCCCGAACCUUCCGGCC